This 433-nucleotide ribosomal RNA is filed under the name uncultured bacterium. Its description in RNAcentral is "bacterial SSU rRNA". It matches the Rfam family "Bacterial small subunit ribosomal RNA", at positions 29 to 507 of the family's 1533-position model. The record is from RNAcentral.
AAUGAACGCUGGCGGCAGGCCUAACACAUGCAAGUCGAACGGAUCCUUCGGGACUAGUGGCGGACGGGUGAGUAACGCGUGGGAACGUGCCCUUUGGUUCGGAAUAGCCUCGGGAAACUGGGAGUAAUACCGAAUGUGCCCUUCGGGGGAAAGAUUUAUCGCCAAAGGAUCGGCCCGCGUUGGAUUAGGUAGUUGGUGGGGUAAUGGCCUACCAAGCCGACGAUCCAUAGCUGGUUUGAGAGGAUGAUCAGCCACACUGGGACUGAGACACGGCCCAGACUCCUACGGGAGGCAGCAGUGGGGAAUCUUAGACAAUGGGGGAAACCCUGAUCUAGCCAUGCCGCGUGAUCGAUGAAGGCCUUAGGGUUGUAAAGAUCUUUCAGAUGGGAAGAUAAUGACGGUACCAUCAGAAGAAGCCCCGGCUAACUCCGUG